Molecule: ribosomal RNA, 488 nt
Filed under: uncultured bacterium
Lineage: Bacteria
Description: partial 16S ribosomal RNA
Rfam family: Bacterial small subunit ribosomal RNA
Source: RNAcentral
GACGAACGCUGGCGGCGUGCUUAAUACAUGCAAGUCGAACGAACAGACCAUGAUCUUGCGGCUCGCACGAUUGCCGAAGAGGUGAGUAAAACGCGUGUAAAACGUACCUGUAAGUGUGAUAAAACCAGGAAAAACGGGAUAUAAUACCGUAGAAGCUAUUGAAGCAUGUUGGUGAAUGGUAAAAUUCGGCGUUGGGGGAACUUAUAGAGGCGUAUUAGCCUGAUGGUCGGGUAGUGGAGUACCAAGGCUACGAAGGGUAGCCGGCCUGAGCGGGUGACCGGCCACACUGGAACUGAGACACGGUCCAGACUCCGACGGGAGGCAGCAGUAGGGAAUCUUCCGCAAUGGGCGAAAGCCUGACGGAGCAACGCCGCGUGAGUGAUGAAGGUCUUCGGAUCGUAAAACUCUGUUAUUAGGGAAGAACAAAUGUGUAAGUACCUAUGCACGUCUUGACGGUACCUAAUCAGAAAGCCACGGCUAACUACGUG